UACAGAGGUCCCAAGCGUUGUUCGGAUUCACUGGGCGUAAAGGGUGCGUAGGUGGCCAGGUAAGUUCGGUGUGAAAGCUCGGAGCUUAACUCCGAAAUGGCAUUGAAUACUAUCUGGCUAGAGGGUCGGAGGGGAGACUGGAAUUCUCGGUGUAGCAGUGAAAUGCGUAGAUAUCGAGACGAACACCAGUGGCGAAGGCGAGUCUCUGGACGACUCCUGACACUGAGGCACGAAAGCCAGGGGAGCAAACAGG
This 253-nucleotide ribosomal RNA is filed under the name uncultured bacterium. Its description in RNAcentral is "partial 16S ribosomal RNA". It matches the Rfam family "Bacterial small subunit ribosomal RNA", at positions 524 to 776 of the family's 1533-position model. The record is from RNAcentral.